UCCCUGGAGGACUAGUGGUUAGGCCUCGUCACUCUCACCGCCAUGGCCCGGGUUCAAUUCCCAGCCAGGGAA
Molecule: transfer RNA, 72 nt
Filed under: Pangasius djambal
Lineage: Eukaryota; Metazoa; Chordata; Actinopteri; Siluriformes; Pangasiidae
Description: tRNA-Glu
Rfam family: tRNA
About the family: Transfer RNA (tRNA) molecules are approximately 80 nucleotides in length. Their secondary structure includes four short double-helical elements and three loops (D, anti-codon, and T loops).
Source: RNAcentral